Molecule: ribosomal RNA, 1382 nt
Filed under: uncultured bacterium
Lineage: Bacteria
Description: 16S ribosomal RNA
Rfam family: Bacterial small subunit ribosomal RNA
Source: RNAcentral
AGAGUUUGAUCCUGGCUCAGGAUAAACGCUGGCGGCGCACAUAAGACAUGCAAGUCGAACGGACUUAACCAUUUGUUUACAUUUGGGGCGGUUAGUGGCGGACUGGUGAGUAACACGUAAGCAACCUGCCUAUUAGAGGGGAAUAACAGCGAGAAAUCGUUGCUAAUACCGCAUAUGCCAUAGUUACCACAUGGUAACAGUGGGAAAGGAGUAAUCCGCUAAUAGAUGGGCUUGCGUCUGAUUAGAUAGUUGGUGGGGUAACGGCCUACCAAGUCGACGAUCAGUAGCCGGACUGAGAGGUUCAACGGCCACAUUGGGACUGAGAUACGGCCCAGACUCCUACGGGAGGCAGCAGUCGGGAAUAUUGCGCAAUGGAGGAAACUCUGACGCAGUGACGCCGCGUAUAGGAAGAAGGUUUUCGGAUUGUAAACUAUUGUCUACAGGGAAGAAUUUUGACUGUACCUGUAAAGAAAGCUCCGGCUAACUACGUGCCAGCAGCCGCGGUAAUACGUAGGGAGCAAGCGUUAUCCGGAUUUAUUGGGUGUAAAGGGUGCGUAGACGGGAAAUUAAGUUAGUUGUGAAAUCCCUCGGCUCAACUGAGGAACUGCAACUAAAACUGGUUUUCUUGAGUGCAGGAGAGGAAAGUGGAAUUCCUAGUGUAGCGGUGAAAUGCGUAGAUAUUAGGAGGAACACCAGUGGCGAAGGCGACUUUCUGGACUGUAACUGACGUUGAGGCACGAAAGUGUGGGGAGCAAACAGGAUUAGAUACCCUGGUAGUCCACACUGUAAACGAUGGAUACUAGGUGUAGGAGGUAUUAAUCCUUCUGUGCCGUCGCUAACGCAGUAAGUAUCCCACCUGGGGAGUACGACCGCAAGGUUGAAACUCAAAGGAAUUGACGGGGGCCCGCACAAGCAGUGGAGUAUGUGGUUUAAUUCGACGCAACGCGAAGAACCUUACCAGAGCUUGACAUCCACGGAAGGCCGAGUAAUGUUGGCCGUGCCCUUCGGGGAGCCGUGAGACAGGUGGUGCAUGGUUGUCGUCAGCUCGUGUCGUGAGAUGUUGGGUUAAGUCCCGCAACGAGCGCAACCCCUAUCCUUAGUAGCCAGCGGCCAGGCCGGGCACUCUAGGGAGACUGCCGGGGAUAACCCGGAGGAAGGUGGGGAUGACGUCAAAUCAUCAUGCCCCUUAUGAUUUGGGCUACACACGUGCUACAAUGGCGUAAACAAAGGGAAGCAAUCACGUGAGUGCGAGCAAAUCUCAAAAAUAACGUCUCAGUUCGGAUUGUAGUCUGCAACUCGACUACAUGAAGCUGGAAUCGCUAGUAAUCGCGAAUCAGAAUGUCGCGGUGAAUACGUUCCCGGGUCUUGUACUCACCGCCCGU